GAUUGGAGUGUGGAAGACAGGUGGUAAAGUGAGAGGACGUUGGUGGCUACCAUGACUAUACAGUGGUGAAGGUGAAAUCCAGUUGGUAAUAUUAAGGUCCCAAUUCCUCCACGAUGCUGACAUCCUCCACGAUCCCUGGUUCAACAAGGUGCCGGGUGAGCCCAACAUAUCAUAUAUCUGCUCUCGAUAGAACUUAUAUUUGGGGCAACUGAAUAUACAACUGCUAUUUAUAUGUGGUCUGCUGGUUGUGUUUUGGCUGAGCUCUUUCUAGGACAGAUGAACCCCUAUAUGACUCCACUGCAUACACUGAGGCCGAUCUGCACAGUAAUUUGGAUUCUUCACCAUCAACCUCAACCCCUUCAUCACGCAAGUCCUUGCAUGAAUUUAUUCUGGAAUCAGUUGCUGAAACAACAGCAGUUGUUUGGGAAGUAGUUGCCAUUAGGGGUUUUGGGCAGGCUGAACUUAUCAGUUGCCAAGUCAUAGAUAUCUAGAUUGAUACUAAGCUACAAAUCUGACAACCAAUAUGUCAUGUUACUGGAAGUCACGUGAGUUAGCAUCAUGGCCGUGAAUCUGUAAUCUGACCUCGAUGCAAAAAAUGACGAGUGCAUAAUAGCUUGUAUUUACUUAAUUGAAUUUUUUUUAUCUCAGGUAAUUAUACAUGUAAUUAACCAACUGAAGACAGAAUAAAAAAUAAGUCAUCUCUAAUCAGUUACUUAAAAAUCUAUUGAACCCUAAAACUUCAACUUAAGCAUUUGGAAUAAAUUGGUUGUUGUCAAAUGGCUACUUCCAGAAAUCCUUGUGCUAAACUGAAGGAACAUUCA
Molecule: RNA transcript, 821 nt
Organism: Gastrolobium bilobum
Lineage: Eukaryota; Viridiplantae; Streptophyta; Magnoliopsida; Fabales; Fabaceae
Exons: 4
Source: RefSeq, a predicted model, not a curated record